GGGGAUAUAGCAUAAUCUGGUUAGUGUUGCCGCCUCCAGAGCGGCGUGUCCAGGUUCAAAUCCUGGUAUCCCCA
This 74-nucleotide transfer RNA is filed under the name Candidatus Woesearchaeota archaeon. RNAcentral describes it as "tRNA-Trp". It matches the Rfam family "tRNA". From Rfam's summary of the family: Transfer RNA (tRNA) molecules are approximately 80 nucleotides in length. The record is from RNAcentral. Lineage: Archaea; Nanobdellati; Candidatus Woesearchaeota.